GUGGGGAAUUUUGGACAAUGGGCGCAAGCCUGAUCCAGCAAUGCCGCGUGCAGGAAGAAGGCCUUCGGGUUGUAAACUGCUUUUGUACGGAACGAAAAGGCUCUGGCUAAUACCUGGAGCUCAUGACGGUACCGUAAGAAUAAGCACCGGCUAACUACGUGCCAGCAGCCGCGGUAAUACGUAGGGUGCGAGCGUUAAUCGGAAUUACUGGGCGUAAAGCGUGCGCAGGCGGUGCUGUAAGACAGGCGUGAAAUCCCCGGGCUCAACCUGGGAAUUGCGCUUGUGACUGCAGCGCUGGAGUGCGGCAGAGGGGGAUGGAAUUCCGCGUGUAGCAGUGAAAUGCGUAGAUAUGCGGAGGAACACCGAUGGCGAAGGCAAUCCCCUGAGCCUGCACUGACGCUCAUGCACGAAAGCGUGGGGAGCAAACAGGAUUAGAAACCCUGGUAGUCC
This 450-nucleotide ribosomal RNA is filed under the name uncultured bacterium. RNAcentral's name for it is "partial 16S ribosomal RNA". It matches the Rfam family "Bacterial small subunit ribosomal RNA", at positions 354 to 796 of the family's 1533-position model. The record is from RNAcentral.